CGGGUGAGUAAUACAUCGAAACGUGUCUUCUAGUGGGGGAUAACUGCCCGAAAGGGCAGCUAAUACCGCAUGAGACCUGAGGGUGAAAGCGGGGGAUCGCAAGACCUCGCGCUGGAAGAGCGGCCGAUGUCCGAUUAGCUAGUUGGUGAGGUAAAGGCUCACCAAGGCGACGAUCGGUAGCUGGUCUGAGAGGACGACCAGCCACACUGGGACUGAGACACGGCCCAG
Molecule: ribosomal RNA, 228 nt
Filed under: uncultured bacterium
Lineage: Bacteria
Description: partial 16S ribosomal RNA
Rfam family: Bacterial small subunit ribosomal RNA
Source: RNAcentral